AGAGUUUUGAUCCUGGCUCAGAGCGAACGUUAGCGGCAGGCUUAACACAUGCAAGUCGAGCGACAAAGGGGCUUCGGCCCUGAGUAGAGCGGCGGACGGGGUGCGUAACACGUGGAUAAUCUGCCUCGUGGGGGCGGGGGAUAACAGUCCGAAAGGACUGCUAAUACCGCAUGUCAGGUCGGAAACCCCGGUUUUCUGACGAAAAAAGAGGGGCGCCCCGCAAGGGGGCUCUCACCACGAGAUGAGUCCGCGGCCCAUCAGCUAGUUGGCGGUGUAAUAGACCACCAAGGCUAAGACGGGUAGCUGGUCUGAGAGGAUGACCAGCCACACUGGGACUGAGACACGGCCCAGACUCCUACGGGAGGCAGCAGUGGGGGAAUAUUGGACAAUGGGCGAAAGCCUGAUCCAGCCAUGCCGCGUGAGUGAUGAAGGUC
RNAcentral lists this ribosomal RNA (434 nucleotides) under uncultured bacterium. RNAcentral describes it as "bacterial SSU rRNA". It matches the Rfam family "Bacterial small subunit ribosomal RNA", at positions 8 to 416 of the family's 1533-position model. The record is from RNAcentral.